UACGAAGGGGGCUAGCGUUGCUCGGAAUCACUGGGCGUAAAGGGUGCGUAGGCGGAUCUUUAAGUCAGGGGUGAAAUCCUGGGGCUCAACCCCAGAACUGCCUUUGAUACUGGCGAUCUCGAGUCCGGAAGAGGUGAGUGGAACUCCUAGUGUAGAGGUGGAAUUCGUAGAUAUUAGGAAGAACACCAGUGGCGAAGGCGGCUCACUGGUCCGGUACUGACGCUGAGGUGCGAAAGCGUGGGGAGCAAACAGG
Molecule: ribosomal RNA, 253 nt
Filed under: uncultured bacterium
Lineage: Bacteria
Description: partial 16S ribosomal RNA
Rfam family: Bacterial small subunit ribosomal RNA
Source: RNAcentral